UUGCCUGAAUACACUUAUACACUUAUACAGCAUAGCUCCUUCACAGAAUCAUCCUGGACAUGGUUCCUUCAUCAGCAGGCUACACACUUUCCUGUAAGCCCCUACUCCUCUCCGUUCCUCGGGUUCCAGGCUCUCAGUGAUCAGAAGGUGCAGUGUGUGUGUGUUUCCAGCCUCAUCCUCACGAUGGCGACGUUCUACCGUGACUUCACCAGUGGACUUUGUUCUCCAGGUCAUGUCUCAACAGAGCAAAGCAGCAGGAAGUGUCACCUCAUUCGUCAUGUCUUUCACAACACAGCGUAACAGCACCGGGUCUGGAGGAGCUGACACUUUCAGCUGAACUUUACACACACACACACACACACAGUGCAGAGAGAGAGAGACACACACACAGAGAGAGAGAGGAUCAGGUGAGUUUUUGACUUUUCUGUCAUUGAGAGAAUGAGGGUUAUAGUGUAGAGGUGUGAAGGUGUGAGUGUAGAGGUAUAAGUGUAAAUGUGAGUGUGAAAGUGUGAGUGUAAGUGUGUGUCUAAAUGUGAGUGUGAAGGUGUGAGUGUGAAGGUGUGAGUCUAAAUGUGAGUGUGAAGGUGUGAGUGUAAAUGUGAGUGUGAAGUUGUGAGUGUAAAUGUGAAUGUAAAAUGUGUGAGUGUGAAGAUGUGAGUGUAAAUGUGUGAGUGUGAAGAUGUGAAGGUGUGAGUGUAAAUGUGAGUGUAAAUAUGAGUGUGAAGGUGUGAGUGUAAAUGUGAGUGAAAGUGUGAGUGUAAAUUAGAGUGUGAAGGUGUGAGUGUGAAGGUGUGAGUGUGAAGGCGUGAGUGUGAAAGUGUGAGUGUAAAUUAGAGUGUGAAGGCGUGAGUGUGAAGGCGUGAGUGUGAAGGCGUGAGUGUGAAGGCGUGAGUGUGAAGGCGUGAGUGUGAAGGCGUGAGUGUGAAAGUGUGAGUGUAAAUUAGUGUAAAUUAGAGUGUGAAGGUGUGAGUGUGAAGGUGUGAGUGUGAAGGUGUGAGUGUGAAGGUGUGAGUGUAAAUUAGAGUGUGAAGUUGGUGACUGGAACACAGGUGUAAGAGCUGUUACACAGUCACGGCGUGGUGUUUGAAUGGGGUUUAUUUACACUCUGCCUGAGAGAUUAAUUCUUAAUUAUUAAUGUUUUAUUCUGAACUUCAUUCCUGCACCAUUUAACUCUAAUGCAGUGUGAUUAACUACAGACACACACACACACACACACACACAAACUCACACACAUACACACACACACACACACACUCACACCGUCAUAUAAGAGAUACAAAGGUUGAGGUUUAAGGUUAGGGGUGGGGUCAAAGUGCAAACCUUUUCUCAUGACACACACACACACACACACACACACACAUGCUUGGCCUAUUGUGUGCUUUUAUGAGACUGUGUUCUGUUCUGCGUGUGUUAAAUAUAGACCUGCACCUGUCUCUCUCUCACACACAGUGUGAUGUAUGUGUGUGUGUGUGUGUGUGUGUGUGUGUGUGUUUGUGUGUGUGUACAGUACGUGACAAUGUGGUAUGUGUGUGUGUGUGUGUGUAUUAUGAGAGAAUAAUCAAAGCUAGGAUAAUAUACUGAUAAUCACAUUGUCUUUAAGACACUUAAGACUUGGUAUCAGUUUAGACGGCGCUUUAAAUUUGUAGGUGCAUCCUUUUUGGUCCUUUAGACAACAACCACCUAUUUCCUCCAUCGUGUUUGGACUCCACAUUUACAGUGUGGUAUGACAAGGGCAUUAAACAAGUUAGAAAUCUGUAUGCCGAUGGUGUGUUUGAUAGUUUUGCCAGUCUGUCAUCUACUUAUGACCUCCCUGUGAUGCACCAGUUUCGUUAUUUUCAAAUUCGGAAUUUCGUUUCUAGAUGUUUUCCUGAUUUCCCCUCUGCGCCUCCUGAACAGGCUUGGGAAAGCUUGUUUUCAAACAAUCUGCAUCAGAGAGGAAUGAUUUCUAGGAUUCAUGAUUUUAUUCUCCCGUUAGGUAGUGAGUCGAGUACCAGAGUUAGGAAUGGUGGGAAACGGAGUUAGGAGUACAGAUAAGUGAGGGGUGUUGGGAACGUGCUAUAGGGAGGUUACAGUCUACCACUUCCUGUGCUCGUCUUGGACUUAUCCAGUUCAAAGUUUUACACAGAGUCCAUCUGUCCAAGUCGAGACUUUCUGUGAUGUAUCCGGACGUAGAGGACAAGUGUGAUAAAUGCCAUGGCUCUCCCUGCCAUCUUGGCCAUAUGUUUUUCUUCUGCCCAGAUCUCCAUGGUUUUUGGACUGGUUUCUUUACUGUCAUGUCCACUAUUCUCAGGGUAGAUUUAAAGCCUUGCCCACUGAUUGCUGUAUUUGGGAUUGCUGAUGACUCAGUUUCACUGAACUCGAUACAAAAGGAUGUUUUUGCUUUCACAUCCCUUAUAGCAAGACGUUCCCUACUGUUGCUUUGGAAGUCUGCUAAAUAUCCAUCUAUCUCCCAGCGGCUAAAGGACGUGAUGUUUUUUUUUAACUCGAGAAAAUAAGGUAUACGAUGAGGGGUUGUACUGACACGUGUGUGUGUAAGUUUGUGAGUGUGUAUGUGAGUGUGUAUGUGUGUAUGUAUGUGAAUAUGUGUGUAUAUGUGUGUAUAUGUGUGUAUAUGUGUGUGUAUGUGUGUGUAUGUGCAUGUGUGUAUAUGUGUGUAUGUAUAUGUGUGUGUAUGUGUGUAUAAAUGUGUGUGUGUGUGUGUGUAUAAAAGUGUGUGUGUGUAUGCAUGUGUAUAUGUGUGUGUAUGUCUAUAUAUGUGUGCAUGUGUGUAUGUGUGUGUGUGUGUGUGUGUAUAAAUGUGUGUGUAUGUAUGUGUAUAUAUCAGUGUAUGUGUGUGUGCGUGUAUGUGUGUGUAUGUGUAUAUAUGAGUGUGUGUGUGAGUGUAUGUGUGUAUAAAUGUGUGUAUGCGUAUAUAUGUGUGCAUGUGUGUAUGUAUGUGUAUAUAUCAGUGUGUGUAUGUGUGUAUCUGUGUAUAUAUGUGUGUGCGUGUAUGUGCGUGUGUGUGCGUGUAUGUGCGUGUAUGUAUGUGUGUGUGUAUGUGUGUGUAUGUGUGUGUAUAUGUGUGUAUAUGUGUGUAUAUGUGUGCAUGUAUGUGUGCAUGUAUGUGUGCAUGUAUGUGUGCAUGUAUGUGUGCGUGUA
Molecule: long non-coding RNA, 3138 nt
Organism: Ictalurus punctatus (channel catfish)
Lineage: Eukaryota; Metazoa; Chordata; Actinopteri; Siluriformes; Ictaluridae
Source: Ensembl